UCAAAUAAAAACAUUCCAGGGUUAUACGGUUAACUGUUUAUGAGUUAAAUAAACUUACCGACAAAUUUAUUUUGUAAAGGUAGAUAACUCCUAUAAAAUUUCAUCGAAUCGCUUCGAUCCAAAUACGCCAAAAAUUACUGAGGAUGUAACGAACAAUUUGUAAAAAGAAUUUUGUCGCUAUCUUAUUUUGUUACGGAGGAGAUGCACACAGAGGAUAAACAGUGAAAUGGGAGAUAACUCUUACAUAGAAAAUGGUUCGCCUUAGCAGGGUGAAAUUUAAAAGUGCAUAAACUAUACAAUACCAUAUGAGAAAUAUCUAAGCGACAUAUUGCGAAACAAACAUUUUGCGCAAGAACAAAAUUUGGCGGAAGAAAAAAAAAAAAAUAAUAAUCAGAACAAAAAC
Molecule: long non-coding RNA, 403 nt
Filed under: Mytilus galloprovincialis (Mediterranean mussel)
Lineage: Eukaryota; Metazoa; Mollusca; Bivalvia; Mytilida; Mytilidae
Source: RNAcentral